GGAGAAGAGAGAUAGGGCAGGGGGUGCGGAGAGGAACAAGGGUCGGUUCUAGGUGGAGGUGGAUGGCGGCAAGGGGUUCGGCGACUGCUCGUGGUCCGCCGGCUGCGGUACCUGCCGACGCCUCGAAGCGCGGUGGGCCGCAGUUGGCGUAGCGGCGGGGUACCCUAAGCACGCGCACCGGCGCAACUCGGCGUGCACGCGAUCUAGGUAGGCGGCCACACACGGCGGCGUCGUUGUUCAAGCCGUUACUGAGAGCCGGGACGACGAAGUAACGAGGACGGGUUCGGCCGGAGGCGAAAGACUGGGGCGGUGGCCGCUCGACGGUACGGGCAGGAGCAGCGUGACCACGACAGGAGGUCAUACGAACGACCGACGCUGGUCUCGGGACAUGUAUAAACCAAGCCAACGUCGCGACGAUGAAGGGCCACCUAGAUCCGACGGGUCCGAUCGUUGCACACACAACGAAAGAACUACCCAAAAUUCACCUAGAAUUAAACUACAUAGGACCGUGAACAGGCACACAUUUAGACUACACGUUUUGUGAAUCUUCAACGAUGAGCAUCCUAUAAGAACGAGCAUACACAUGUGCACUUCUUACCGAUCGAACAUCUAGGCAAAAGAAAAACAAUUUCUUUAUAUGUAAGUAAAAAUAACCU
Molecule: ribosomal RNA, 656 nt
Filed under: Triticum aestivum (bread wheat)
Lineage: Eukaryota; Viridiplantae; Streptophyta; Magnoliopsida; Poales; Poaceae
Description: partial small subunit ribosomal RNA
Source: RNAcentral